AUGUUUUUAAAGGUAUUUUAUCCAGAUCCCCACUCUGUUUUUGGAACAUGGGUUCUCACAAAGCAGUUUUCAGAUGCAGGCUGGCUUUACGGUGCCACUUGUGACUUCUGCGGAUGCUUGAGUGGGGUAAUGGCUUCUUUCUUUCCUUCCUUCUCAGAAGUGAACCAUUCGGGAUGUCACAAAGGGGUUACCGGGGGGCCAGGCCUUUAUGUGGUGCCCACGUUUGCGGUGGGUGCAGCUGCUGUGCGGAGCACCAGGUGUCACUGUUCCUCCAUGGUGAAGUGCCUGCCUGUGCAUUUUUUGGGCUGGGAGUGCAAAGUAGCUGGAGGUGGCAAAGAAAUGGCAUGUUUGAAGCUGGAAGGAGGAUGGGAGCCAGCAACCGGCGUGACUGGAGGCCUUCUCAGAGAGCCGAGCUCCUGUUUGCCGUUUUCUGCUGCUCAGGUUCUCUCAUGAACUGGAUUUUCAGGGGAUUAAUCAUGAUGAAGAUUGUUAAAUUGGUGACACAGGUUGGGUUGCAUAAAUAAAGUAUUGAAUCUGGAUUACCUACUGAAAUGA
RNAcentral lists this long non-coding RNA (555 nucleotides) under Anser brachyrhynchus (Pink-footed goose). Its description in RNAcentral is "lncRNA (ENSABRG00000014778.1)". Lineage: Eukaryota; Metazoa; Chordata; Aves; Anseriformes; Anatidae. The record is from RNAcentral.